RNAcentral lists this transfer RNA (76 nucleotides) under Acidobacteriota bacterium. Its description in RNAcentral is "Acidobacteria bacterium tRNA-Ala". It matches the Rfam family "tRNA". From Rfam's summary of the family: Transfer RNA (tRNA) molecules are approximately 80 nucleotides in length. Their secondary structure includes four short double-helical elements and three loops (D, anti-codon, and T loops). Further hydrogen bonds mediate the characteristic L-shaped molecular structure. tRNAs have two regions of fundamental functional importance: the anti-codon, which is responsible for specific mRNA codon recognition, and the 3' end, to which the tRNAs corresponding amino acid is attached (by aminoacyl-tRNA synthetases). tRNAs cope with the degeneracy of the genetic code in two manners: having more than one tRNA (with a specific anti-codon) for a particular amino acid; and 'wobble' base-pairing, i.e. permitting non-standard base-pairing at the 3rd anti-codon position. The record is from RNAcentral. Lineage: Bacteria; Pseudomonadati; Acidobacteriota. RNAcentral also lists the same sequence under 1 other name.
GGGGCUGUAGCUCAGCUGGGAGAGCGCGUGCUUUGCAAGCAUGAGGUCACCGGUUCGAAACCGGUCAGCUCCACCA